Molecule: unclassified non-coding RNA, 885 nt
Filed under: uncultured Synechococcus sp.
Lineage: Bacteria; Bacillati; Cyanobacteriota; Cyanophyceae; Synechococcales; Synechococcaceae
Description: partial may contain 16S ribosomal RNA, 16S-23S ribosomal RNA intergenic spacer, and 23S ribosomal RNA
Rfam family: tRNA (bases 352-424)
Source: RNAcentral
AGGACGUCGAAGGUGGGGCUGAUGACUGGGGUGAAGUCGUAACAAGGUAUCCGUACCGGAAGGUGCGGAUGGAUCACCUCCUAACAGGGAGACAACACAAUGAUUUUGAUGCCUGAGUGCUUUUAUUCUUAGGCCGAAAUCCUGUCACCUUAGGUCGAUCGGUACCUCAGCUUUGAAGUCAAGGAUCAGCAGCAAUGUUGAUUGCUUGAUGGAGAUUUUCAGUUCCUAAACUUUGUCUAGGUCACACCCCAAAAGGGAUGAGACUCCUGGGCCAUUAGCUCAGGUGGUUAGAGCGCACCCCUGAUAAGGGUGAGGUCCCUGGUUCAAGUCCAGGAUGGCCCAUUCGGUGUUGGGGGUUUAGCUCAGUUGGUAGAGCGCCUGCUUUGCAAGCAGGAUGUCAGGAGUUCGAGUCUCCUAACCUCCACUGACCGAACUUGAUUCCCAUCUCCAAUUCUUUUGGAGUUGAGCUCGAUUGGAGUGUGAUUUAGAUGUGUCCGCUGGAUGACCCCAGCUUCCUGUCAUUCCAAGUUUUAGGUUGAUGCCUUGAAUUUGGUUGAUAAGAUGCUGGGCUCAGAUCAAAUGAUUAAGCAAUUGAUGAUUUGAUUUGAAGUUCUAGCAGAACCUUGACAACUGCAUAGGUGAGUCUGGAAAAAACAAAGCAUCUUACAGAUGCAUUGUUUUGAAUCUGAUCUUCUGAAAAGGAGAUUGGAUCUAGAACAAUGAAAAUUCUUUUGAGCAAGAGCCGAGACUCUUGAGCGUUCUUUGAUUGGUGUCGAGCCAAUCAGAGUUUGAUCUUGUUUUUAGUAAUAAAAACUUGAGAAUCUGCUUUCAACGGCGGUAAGCGUUCAGGAGGUUAAUUGGUCAAGCUACAAAGGGCUCACGGCG